AACUCAUCCCCCGCAGAAGCUGAGUUGAGAUUUCACUCUGGGGGAGCCAGACUUGUGGGUGUCUAGGCUGGAUAGGAUUCCAGCAUGUUCCUUUCUGGAUUGCCAUGGGAAGAGUUAUUAAGGAACGGGCACUCGUCAAAGGAACUAUGGCUGCCGAUGAGGAGACAACUUUAACUCCUGUGCUGGGUAUAAAUAUGCAAGUGCUGACAUGGGCUGCAUUUUUCAAUUUUAUGGCCAAGUGACGUCUACAGCCGACUGAUAAAUGGAAGCUUUGAGGAGGGGGCUUGCCACAAUCCAGCCUGGCAUGAAAGGGUCCCAAGGAAAGGUAGCGAUGGGGUAUUGAGUCAGUGGUGAAACCAAAGCUUAUUUAUCUUUGGCAAUUCUUCUGUCUAUGACUCUUUGCUAUUCUAAGGCCAAAUGCCUUUGGUUUCUGGAUGUCUGCCCAACAAGGUAAGCUAAUGCCCAGGAAUCAUUAGGCUACGUAGUGGUGACAGAAAAGGCACAUCAGCUGCUUUUAAGAAGCAAUCCUAAGAUGAAGUCUGACCUUGCCUCUCAGAGCUCAUCCAUCAUAAGCUAUGCGAAAACACUUCUGUUUUGACCGAAAGCAAACAAGAGGCUAAAUUCCAGGAUUAGGAUGCUGGGCAUGAGAAGAACACAUUUGAUGCCUGGCGCUCAUGCUCAGAUGCUGCGGCCCUCAAAGCUACCUGUCUUUCUGAGUGCCCCGAGGGCCAGCUAGGGCCCUGACCUGUGCAUGCGCCAUCCAGAAACCUGUCUUCUAGACAAGCCUCUGUGUGACUGUUUCUGGACAGUUUAUUUGUUCUGAAUGUUUUAAAAUUUGGGCAAAAGAGAAUUGAAGCACAAAAGUGU
Molecule: long non-coding RNA, 867 nt
Filed under: Mus pahari (shrew mouse)
Lineage: Eukaryota; Metazoa; Chordata; Mammalia; Rodentia; Muridae
Description: lncRNA (MGP_PahariEiJ_G0012429.1)
Source: RNAcentral